GGACGAACGCUGGCGGCGUGCCUAAUACAUGCAAGUCGAACGGCUUUUCUAUGGAAGCUUGCUUCCACUGAGAAGAUAGUGGCGAACGGGUGAGUAACACGUGGGUAACCUGCCCAUAAGAGGGGGAUAACAUCCGGAAACGGGUGCUAAUACCGCAUAGUUUUCUUGAUCGCAUGAUCGGGAAAGGAAAGACGGCCUUUGUGCUGUCGCUUAUGGAUGGACCCGCGGCGUAUUAGUUAGUUGGUGAGGUAACGGCUCACCAAGACGAUGAUACGUAGCCGACCUGAGAGGGUGAUCGGCCACAUUGGGACUGAGACACGGCCCAAACUCCUACGGGAGGCAGCAGUAGGGAAUCUUCCGCAAUGGACGAAAGUCUGACGGAGCAACGCCGCGUGAGUGAAAGAAGGUUUUCGGAUCGUAAAACUCUGUUGUCAGAGAAGAACAAGUUGGAGAGUAACUGCUCCAGCCUUGACGGUAUCUGACCAGAAAGCCACGGCUAACUACGUGCCAGCCGCCGC
RNAcentral lists this ribosomal RNA (518 nucleotides) under uncultured bacterium. Its description in RNAcentral is "bacterial SSU rRNA". It matches the Rfam family "Bacterial small subunit ribosomal RNA", at positions 27 to 518 of the family's 1533-position model. The record is from RNAcentral.